RNAcentral lists this ribosomal RNA (253 nucleotides) under uncultured bacterium. RNAcentral's name for it is "partial 16S ribosomal RNA". It matches the Rfam family "Bacterial small subunit ribosomal RNA", at positions 524 to 776 of the family's 1533-position model. The record is from RNAcentral.
UACGGAGGGGGUUAGCGUUGUUCGGAAUUACUGGGCGUAAAGCGCGCGUAGGCGGAUUAGAAAGUUGGGGGUGAAAUCCCGGGGCUCAACCCCGGAACUGCAUCCGAUACUGCCAAUCUAGAAUACGGUAGAGGGUAGUGGAAUUUCCUGUGUAGCGGUGAAAUGCGUAGAUAUAUGGAGGAAUACCAGUGGCGAAGGCGGCCUCCUGGCUCGACAUUGACGCUGAGGUGCGAAAGCGUGGGGAGCAAACGGG